UNGCCCUGUGUUUUCAGACUCCCGGGGU
RNAcentral lists this non-coding RNA (28 nucleotides) under Mus musculus (house mouse). The record is from RNAcentral. Lineage: Eukaryota; Metazoa; Chordata; Mammalia; Rodentia; Muridae.